AUACGUAGGGGGCAAGCGUUGUCCGGAAUGAUUGGGCGUAAAGGGCGCGUAGGCGGCCCGGUAAGUCUGGAGUGAAAGUCCUGUUUUUAAGAUGGGAAUUGCUUUGGAUACUGUCGGGCUUGAGUGCAGGAGAGGUAAGUGGAAUUCCCAGUGUAGCGGUGAAAUGCGUAGAGAUUGGGAGGAACACCAGUGGCGAAGGCGACUUACUGGACUGUAACUGACGCUGAGGCGCGAAAGUGUGGGGAGCAAACAGGAUUAGAUACCCUGGUAGUCCACACUGUAAACGAUGAAUGCUAGGUGUAGGGGGUAUCGACCCCUUCUGUGCCGCAGUCAACACAAUAAGCAUUCCGCCUGGGGAGUACGGCCGCAAGGUUGAAACUCAAAGGAAUUGACGGGG
This 397-nucleotide ribosomal RNA is filed under the name uncultured bacterium. RNAcentral's name for it is "partial 16S ribosomal RNA". It matches the Rfam family "Bacterial small subunit ribosomal RNA", at positions 523 to 918 of the family's 1533-position model. The record is from RNAcentral.